This 419-nucleotide long non-coding RNA is filed under the name Dermacentor andersoni. RNAcentral's name for it is "uncharacterized LOC126547377". The record is from RNAcentral. Lineage: Eukaryota; Metazoa; Arthropoda; Arachnida; Ixodida; Ixodidae.
CGUGCUUGGUCUAUACAGGGCCUUUUCUGCGUGUAACAGCCUGCUGUGGCUUAUCACUCAACGGCGAGCGCAGCACUAUCCUACAGCAAGAACGGACACAGCGCAGCUGCGGACAUGUUGAAAUUUAUUAUUUCUUUCGGCGCUGGAGUCUACGCGGGCGUUUAUGUAGCACAGAACUAUCAGGUGCCCCGUGUUGAUGAGCCACAAGAACUUUGGCGAAAGAUAAAGGACUUUGCUGAUCAGUACAGGAAGUCUCCCCCUGGUGUCUAACAUUCCAAUAUUUGUAUAGCUCUGGUUCCAACUUCUUAAUGUGCUGCACUGGAUGCAGUCUAUGCAUUUGCAUUUCAUGUUCUUGUGUUACAUGGGAACUUAAGUCUACAAUAGACGUAUCACAUAUGACCCCUGCCUUUACUGCAGCU